UAUCAGACAUCGUAUUUCAACCAGAGGAGACAGGACCCCUCGACCGCCUGAGCAGCAGCACGUCGCGCCAGCACCACCGCCGCAUCGCGAGCCUGCGAGCCGCCGCAUCACUGCAUCUCGUGCCCGUGAGCCGCCGCACGCCGCACCUCUGCAUCGACCGACCACCGCUCGUUUGCAGCCCACCUCUGCAUCGCGCGACUGGAACCGCCGCACCGCUGCACCUUGUGCUCUUGAGCCGCCGCACGCCGCACCUCUGCAUCGACCGCUCGUUGCAGCCCGCUUCUGUAUCGAGACUGUGACCGCGGCCGGCCCGCCGCACGCCCGAACCUCUGCAUCGACUGGUCGUUUGCCACCCACCGCUCCUCUGCAGUUCAACG
Molecule: long non-coding RNA, 377 nt
Filed under: Manihot esculenta (cassava)
Lineage: Eukaryota; Viridiplantae; Streptophyta; Magnoliopsida; Malpighiales; Euphorbiaceae
Description: long non-coding RNA (MESC_LNC005834)
Source: RNAcentral